This 138-nucleotide ribosomal RNA is filed under the name uncultured eukaryote. RNAcentral describes it as "partial 18S ribosomal RNA". It matches the Rfam family "Eukaryotic small subunit ribosomal RNA", at positions 1299 to 1458 of the family's 1831-position model. The record is from RNAcentral.
UGGUGGAGUGAUUUGUCUGCUUAAUUGCGAUAACGAACGAGACCUUAACCUGCUAAAUAGCCCGGCCGGCUUUGGCUGGCCGCUGGCUUCUUAGAGGGACUUUCAACGUUUAGUUGAAGGAAGUUUGAGGCAAUAACA